UAAUGACGGUACCUGAAGAAUAAGCACCGGCUAACUACGUGCCAGCAGCCGCGGUAAUACGUAGGGUGCGAGCGUUAAUCGGAAUUACUGGGCGUAAAGCGUGCGCAGGCGGUUGUGUAAGACAGAUGUGAAAUCCCCGGGCUCAACCUGGGAACUGCAUUUGUGACUGCACGGCUGGAGUGCGGCAGAGGGGGAUGGAAUUCCGCGUGUAGCAGUGAAAUGCGUAGAUAUGCGGAGGAACACCGA
This 246-nucleotide ribosomal RNA is filed under the name Mesorhizobium sp. Its description in RNAcentral is "partial 16S ribosomal RNA". It matches the Rfam family "Bacterial small subunit ribosomal RNA", at positions 467 to 712 of the family's 1533-position model. Lineage: Bacteria; Pseudomonadati; Pseudomonadota; Alphaproteobacteria; Hyphomicrobiales; Phyllobacteriaceae. The record is from RNAcentral.